Molecule: ribosomal RNA, 468 nt
Filed under: uncultured bacterium
Lineage: Bacteria
Description: partial 16S ribosomal RNA
Rfam family: Bacterial small subunit ribosomal RNA
Source: RNAcentral
GACGAACGCUGGCGGCGUGCUUAACACAUGCAAGUCGAACGGAAAGGCCCUGCUUUUGUGGGGUGCUCGAGUGGCGAACGGGUGAGUAACACGUGAGUAACCUGCCCUUGACUUUGGGAUAACUUCAGGAAACUGGGGCUAAUAACGGAUAGGAGCUCCUGCUGCACGGAGGGGGUUGGAAAGUUUCGGCGGUAGGGGAUGGACUCGCGGCUUAUCAGCUUGUUGGUGGGGUAGUGGCUUACCAAGGCUUUGACGGGUAGCCGGCCUGAGAGGGUGACCGGCCACAUUGGGACUUGGGUACGGCCCAGACUCCUACGGGAGGCAGCAGUGGGGAAUAUUGCACAAUGGGCGGAAGCCUGAUGCAGCAACGCCGCGUGCGGGAUGCCGGCCUUCGGGUUGUAAACCGCUUUCGCCUGUGACGAAGCGUGAGUGACGGUAAUGGGUAAAGAAGCACCGGCUAACUACGUG